GGGAAGUUGGCUCAGCGGUAGAGCACUUGCCUUGCAUGCAUGAGGCCCUGGGUUCGAUUCCUCAGAACCA
Non-coding RNA from Dipodomys ordii (Ord's kangaroo rat), 70 nucleotides. The record is from Rfam. NCBI's taxonomy places the organism in Eukaryota, Metazoa, Chordata, Mammalia, Rodentia, Heteromyidae.